UCUAUGGGGCUCUAUGGGGUCUCUAUGGGGGUCUGUGGGGCUCCAUGUGGUCUCUAUGGGGUCUCUAUGGGGGCUACAGGGUCUCUAUGAGGCUCUAUGGGGCUCUAUGGGGUACCUAUGGGGCUCUAUGGGAUCUCUAUGGCAGUCUGUGGGGAUCUAUGUGGUCUCUAUGAGGCUCUAUGGGUCUCUAUAGGGUCUCUAUGGGGCUCUAUGAGGUGUCUAUGGAGCUCUGUGGGGUACCUAUGGGGCUCUGUGAGGUACACCCUGCAUGUGGGGCACUUCGUGGACGGCGGAGCCGGUGGGGGGCUCAGGAAGAAGGGGG
RNAcentral lists this long non-coding RNA (322 nucleotides) under Gallus gallus (chicken). The record is from RNAcentral. Lineage: Eukaryota; Metazoa; Chordata; Aves; Galliformes; Phasianidae.